RNAcentral lists this microRNA (24 nucleotides) under Rosa chinensis. Its description in RNAcentral is "sRNA RchiOBHm_Chr4g0403905". The record is from RNAcentral. Lineage: Eukaryota; Viridiplantae; Streptophyta; Magnoliopsida; Rosales; Rosaceae.
AAUUUCAAUCAGUCGUGUCCAAUU